Molecule: ribosomal RNA, 21 nt
Filed under: Bradyrhizobium sp. Am20102d
Lineage: Bacteria; Pseudomonadati; Pseudomonadota; Alphaproteobacteria; Hyphomicrobiales; Nitrobacteraceae
Also listed under: 1 other name
Description: partial 23S ribosomal RNA
Source: RNAcentral
AAUCAAGUGCCUUAAGGGUGU